Non-coding RNA from Caenorhabditis elegans, 189 nucleotides. Lineage: Eukaryota; Metazoa; Nematoda; Chromadorea; Rhabditida; Rhabditidae. The record is from Ensembl.
UUGAUCAACCAAGGGCAUACAAAAAACUCCUUCGGGACCAAAAAGAUCAACACUUUGGCUCAAAGAGCCAAACAAUGUGCCCACAAGCAGUACAUUAGAAACAGCAGCUUUUCCUUCCUAAAAACAUACACCCACUUUUUUUAGAAGUCCCAUUCUUUCCUAUUUGCUUCUCGUGCCAGAAUAAUAUAU